UAUCAUAUAAUAUCUGUAUUCUGACAAACUCCCUCCCAUUUGAUCAUAAUCAUUACAUCUCUCUAUUGUCUGUUAUCAAAACCACGGAUCAUAACCUAUUUCAAGUUUACAGAGCCCAAUCUUGAAAAAGUUCACACCAUUCAAAUCUGCUCCAAACAUUGAUGUUCAUCAGUAAAAUUUGGUUCAAGUUAAUACAAAGCUUGUAAGCCUUUUAAGUUUAAUUACUUUGGUUUCUUUUGGACGAAGUACAUAAUUCAAGAUUUUAAUUAUUGUGAUCAUUGAAUAAGGUUCUGGAAUCAACCUAAUCGUUUGAAUCUGUUCUUCAGAAAUUAUAAACACGGUAAGCCCGUCUUCAUGCAUGAUUCUGGUUUUUUUCAUAUGUUUUAUUUUUGUAGGAGGAACAAAUGAAUCAAAUGACGAUCGUAUUUUCGAUGAAGUGCAUCAGCCUUUAUAUUCGGUUUAAGGAAUUUGAUGAUGAGACGUGUCAAGAAAUCAACUAAGAUGAA
RNAcentral lists this long non-coding RNA (506 nucleotides) under Helianthus annuus (common sunflower). RNAcentral's name for it is "sRNA HanXRQr2_Chr03g0121831". The record is from RNAcentral. Lineage: Eukaryota; Viridiplantae; Streptophyta; Magnoliopsida; Asterales; Asteraceae.